Vicugna pacos (alpaca) is the source of this 257-nucleotide non-coding RNA. NCBI's taxonomy places the organism in Eukaryota, Metazoa, Chordata, Mammalia, Artiodactyla, Camelidae. The record is from RefSeq and is a predicted model, not a curated record.
CGGCGGCGGCCGAGACGCUGGGAUGGCGGGCGCCGGGAGCGAAGCCCGGUUUGCCGGGCUGUCGCUGGUGCAGCUCAACGAGCUGCUGGAGGACGAGGGGCAGCUGACGGAGAUGGUGCAGAAGAUGGAGGAGAUAAACAAUCCAGCAGCGCUUCCUUGGAGACCCUGUUAGCGCUUCUCCAGGCAGAAGGGGCCAAGAUCGAGGAAGACACGGAGAACAUGGCAGAGAAGUUUCUGGACGGAGAGCUUUCUCUGGA